RNAcentral lists this ribosomal RNA (253 nucleotides) under uncultured bacterium. RNAcentral's name for it is "partial 16S ribosomal RNA". It matches the Rfam family "Bacterial small subunit ribosomal RNA", at positions 524 to 776 of the family's 1533-position model. The record is from RNAcentral.
UACGAAGGGGGCUAGCGUUGUUCGGAAUUACUGGGCGUAAAGCGCACGUAGGCGGCUUCUUAAGUCGGAGGUGAAAUCCUGGAGCUCAACUCCAGAACUGCCUUCGAUACUGGGAAGCUCGAGUCCGGGAGAGGUGAGUGGAACUGCGAGUGUAGAGGUGAAAUUCGUAGAUAUUCGCAAGAACACCAGUGGCGAAGGCGGCUCACUGGCCCGGUACUGACGCUGAGGUGCGAAAGCGUGGGGAGCGAACAGG